RNAcentral lists this transfer RNA (77 nucleotides) under Vibrio frigidus. Its description in RNAcentral is "Vibrio sp. F74 tRNA-Arg". It matches the Rfam family "tRNA". Rfam says of the family: Transfer RNA (tRNA) molecules are approximately 80 nucleotides in length. Their secondary structure includes four short double-helical elements and three loops (D, anti-codon, and T loops). RNAcentral also lists the same sequence under 2 other names. Lineage: Bacteria; Pseudomonadati; Pseudomonadota; Gammaproteobacteria; Vibrionales; Vibrionaceae. The record is from RNAcentral.
GCUCCGUUAGCUCAGCUGGAUAGAGCACCCGCCUUCUAAGCGGGUGGUCGCAGGUUCAAAUCCUGCACGGAGUACCA